GUGUGAUGUGAGUAGCCUCACCACCUCCCAUGAAGUUUGGAAAGCACUAGAAAAUGGGGUAGCAAAUAAAGCACAAAUUAAUCAAUUGAAGGAAAAUUUGCAAAACACAAGGAAAGGCACUACAAGAAUGGAAGAUUAUCUCGCAUAAAAGAAGUAAAUAGUUGAUGACCUCACUCUUGUAGGUGAACCUAUUUGUAGUGCCUUAAGUUCAGAAGGAGAACAUGAGUGAACCGAUAUCACAUCUGAAUGAGAGAGAUCCUGAGGAUAUAAAAGUAAGAUUACGAAAGAUUUAAAAGAAGUAAAAGUUAUUACCUAUAUACAAACAAGAUACACCUUCCUAAUUGUGGGUGGCUCGAUCAUAUAAACUUGAAAGUUAAGCAUGCUUAGCUUGGAACAAUUCUAUGUUGGAUGACCUUCUGGAAAUUCUCCUAAGAUGCAUGUGAGUGAGGACAAAAUAUGCUGAAAGUUCUUGUGUUGGUUUGUGGAGGACGAUUUUCACUCUGAUAAGC
This 509-nucleotide long non-coding RNA is filed under the name Cucumis sativus (cucumber). Its description in RNAcentral is "long non-coding RNA (CSAT_LNC002754)". Lineage: Eukaryota; Viridiplantae; Streptophyta; Magnoliopsida; Cucurbitales; Cucurbitaceae. The record is from RNAcentral.